RNAcentral lists this ribosomal RNA (412 nucleotides) under uncultured bacterium. RNAcentral describes it as "bacterial SSU rRNA". It matches the Rfam family "Bacterial small subunit ribosomal RNA", at positions 45 to 505 of the family's 1533-position model. The record is from RNAcentral.
GGCUUAACACAUGCAAGUCGAACGCCCCGCAAGGGGAGUGGCAGACGGGUGAGUAACACGUGGGAACAUGCCCAAAGGUACGGAAUAUUCUCGGGAAACUGGGAGCAAUACCGUAUGUGCCCGAAAGGGGAAAGAUUUAUCGCCUUUGGAUUGGCCCGCGUUGGAUUAGCUAGUUGGUGGGGUAAAAGCCUACCAAGGCGACGAUCCAUAGCUGGUCUGAGAGGACGACCAGCCACACUGGGACUGAGACACGGCCCAGACUCCUACGGGAGGCAGCAGUGGGGAAUCUUGGACAAUGGGCGCAAGCCUGAUCCAGCCAUGCCGCGUGAGUGAUGAAGGCCCUAGGGUUGUAAAACUCUUUCGUGGGGGACGAUAAUGACGGUACCCCAAGAAGAAGCUCCGGCAAUUCGUC